AUUGAUUUGGCAGAUUAUUGUAUUAAUUUUAGAUUUUAAUAAGGUGUAAUUUAUUUACACAUUCAAU
Molecule: transfer RNA, 67 nt
Filed under: Krisna furcata
Lineage: Eukaryota; Metazoa; Arthropoda; Insecta; Hemiptera; Cicadellidae
Description: tRNA-Leu
Source: RNAcentral